Molecule: ribosomal RNA, 492 nt
Filed under: uncultured bacterium
Lineage: Bacteria
Description: partial 16S ribosomal RNA
Rfam family: Bacterial small subunit ribosomal RNA
Source: RNAcentral
AUUGAACGCUGGCGGCAUGCUUUACACAUGCAAGUCGAACGGUAACAGGCCUUCGGGUGCUGACGAGUGGCGAACGGGCGAGUAAUGCAUCGGAACGUGCCCAGCGGUGGGGGAUAACGCAGCGACAGCUGUGCUAAUACCGCAUGUGAUCUGAGGUUGAGAGGGGGGGACCAGGCAGCAAUGUUUGGCCUCGCGCCUUUGGAGCGGCCGAUGUCAGAUUAGGUAGUUGGUGGGGUAAAGGCCUACCAAGCCGACGAUCUGUAGCUGGUCUGAGAGGACGGUCGGCCACACUGGGAGUGGGACACGGCCAAGACUCCUACGGGAGGCAGCAGUGGGGAAUGUUGGACAAUGGGCGCAAGCCUGAUCCAGCAAUGCCGCGUGCGGGAAGAAGGCCUUCGGGUUGUAAACCGCUUUUGUACGGAACGAAAAGGCUCUGGCUAAUACCUGGGGCUGAUGACGGUACCGUAAGAAGAAGCACCGGCUAACUACGUG